This 115-nucleotide transfer RNA is filed under the name Hirsutella minnesotensis 3608. It matches the Rfam family "tRNA". From Rfam's summary of the family: Transfer RNA (tRNA) molecules are approximately 80 nucleotides in length. Lineage: Eukaryota; Fungi; Ascomycota; Sordariomycetes; Hypocreales; Ophiocordycipitaceae. The record is from Rfam by way of RNAcentral.
GACAGGAUGGCCGAGUGGUCUAAGGCGUGGUGUUCAAGAAAAUUGAAUUUCUUUCCCGUGACAAAUGGGUUCCACCAUAUCGAGAGAUGCGAGGGUUCGAAUCCCUCUUCUGUCA